Molecule: ribosomal RNA, 301 nt
Filed under: uncultured bacterium
Lineage: Bacteria
Description: partial 16S ribosomal RNA
Rfam family: Bacterial small subunit ribosomal RNA
Source: RNAcentral
CAGUCGCCGCGGUAAGACAGAGGAUGCAAGCGUUAUCCGGAAUGAUUGGGCGUAAAGCGUGCGCAGGCGGUUAUAUAAGACAGAUGUGAAAUCCCCGGGCUCAACCUGGGAACUGCAUUUGUGACUGUAUAGCUAGAGUACGGCAGAGGGGGAUGGAAUUCCGCGUGUAGCAGUGAAAUGCGUAGAUAUGCGGAGGAACACCGAUGGCGAAGGCAAUCCCCUGGGCCUGUACUGACGCUCAUGCACGAAAGCGUGGGGAGCAAACAGGAUUAGAUACCCCAGUAGUCCCUGUCUCUUAUAA